This 253-nucleotide ribosomal RNA is filed under the name uncultured bacterium. Its description in RNAcentral is "partial 16S ribosomal RNA". It matches the Rfam family "Bacterial small subunit ribosomal RNA", at positions 524 to 776 of the family's 1533-position model. The record is from RNAcentral.
UACGUAGGGUGCAAGCGUUGUCCGGAAUUAUUGGGCGUAAAGAGCUCGUAGGCGGUCUGUCACGUCGGCUGUGAAAACCCGAGGCUCAACCUCGGGCCUGCAGUCGAUACGGGCAAACUAGAGUACUGCAGGGGAGACUGGAAUUCCUGGUGUAGCGGUGAAAUGCGUAGAUAUCGAGAGGAACACCUGCGGCGAAGGCGGGUUGCUGGCCCGAUACUGACGCUGAGGCACGAAAGCGUGGGGAGCAAACAGG